UCCAGACUCCUACGGGAGGCAGCAGUGGGGGAUAUUGCACAAUGGGGGAAACCCUGAUGCAGCGACGCCGCGUGAGUGAAGAAGUAUUUCGGUAUGUAAAGCUCUCUCAGCAGGGAAGAAAAAAGACGGUACCUGACUAAGAAGCCCCGGCUAACUACGUGCCAGCAGCCGCGGUAAUACGUAGGGGGCAAGCGUUAUCCGGAUUUACUGGGUGUAAAGGGAGCGUAGGCGGUUAGAUAAGUCUGAUGUGAAAGCCCCCAGCUUAACUGUGGGAUUGCAUUGGAAACUAUAGAACUAGAGUGUCGGAGAGGUAAGUGGAAUUCCUAGUGUAGCGGUGAAAUGCGUAGAUAUUAGGAGGAACACCAGUGGCGAAGGCGGCUUACUGGACGAUGACUGACGCUGAGGCUCGAAAGCGUGGGGAGCAAACAGGAUUAGAUACCCGUGUA
This 446-nucleotide ribosomal RNA is filed under the name uncultured bacterium. Its description in RNAcentral is "partial 16S ribosomal RNA". It matches the Rfam family "Bacterial small subunit ribosomal RNA", at positions 330 to 792 of the family's 1533-position model. The record is from RNAcentral.